RNAcentral lists this transfer RNA (77 nucleotides) under Citrobacter freundii. Its description in RNAcentral is "tRNA-Met". It matches the Rfam family "tRNA". From Rfam's summary of the family: Transfer RNA (tRNA) molecules are approximately 80 nucleotides in length. Their secondary structure includes four short double-helical elements and three loops (D, anti-codon, and T loops). Lineage: Bacteria; Pseudomonadati; Pseudomonadota; Gammaproteobacteria; Enterobacterales; Enterobacteriaceae. The record is from RNAcentral. RNAcentral also lists the same sequence under 168 other names.
CGCGGGGUGGAGCAGCCUGGUAGCUCGUCGGGCUCAUAACCCGAAGGUCGUCGGUUCGAAUCCGGCCCCCGCAACCA